UGUGGCCUGCGGCAGGUCGGCGGCGGCGGUUUGCAGCGUCGCGGGCGCGUCGAGGACGAGAUAGGGCGUGCGUUCGAGCGCGCGGGCCGCGGC
This 93-nucleotide transfer RNA is filed under the name Tropicibacter alexandrii. Its description in RNAcentral is "tRNA-Cys(gca)". The record is from RNAcentral. Lineage: Bacteria; Pseudomonadati; Pseudomonadota; Alphaproteobacteria; Rhodobacterales; Roseobacteraceae.